UCUGUUGCCGCCUGCGCUGCGCGGUGUGCGAGGCCGCCGCCGAGCCCCCUCGUCGGCUGUGACCCCCGCUCGCGGGCGUGGGACGUGGGUGGAAAACGGGCCCCCUUCCUCCCGCGGGGCUCCGAGCGGCGGCCGCGCUCCCGCGAGCCUGCCGAGCCGCUGCGGGCCGGGGUCCGCUCGGAGGGCGGGGGCUGCCGGAGCGCCCGGCGUCGCGGUCGCGUCCCGGCCCCGAGCCCCGGCGCCCCUUGAGGUCUCUCUUUCCCCUGUUGUGCAGGUUCGCUUGCGGCGUCAUGGCUCAGAGGGCCUUUCCGAAUCCUUACGCCGAUUAUAACAAGUCCCUGGCCGAAGGCUACUUCGACUCCUCCGGGAGGCUGACUCCUGAGUUCUCACAGCGCUUGACCAACAAGAUUCGAGAGCUCCUCCAGCAGAUGGAGAGAGGCCUGAAGUCAGCAGACUCUCGGGAUGGCAGUGGGUAUACCGGCUGGACAGGCAUUGCUGUGCUUUACCUCCAUCUCUAUGAUGUGUUUGGGGACCCUGCCUACCUGCAGAUGGCACAUGGCUAUGUAAAGCAAAGCCUAAACUGCUUGAGCAAGCGGUCCAUCACCUUCCUGUGUGGCGACGCAGGCCCCCUGGCCGUGGCUGCUGUGCUGUAUCACAAGAUGAACAGUGAGAAGCAGGCAGAGGACUGCAUCACACGGCUCAUUCACCUGAGUAAGAUUGACCCCCAUUCACCAAAUGAAAUGCUCUAUGGACGCAUAGGCUACAUCUUUGCUCUUCUUUUUGUCAAUAAGAACUUUGGAGAGGAGAAGAUUCCUCAGAGCCAUAUCCAGCAGGUUUGUGAAGCAAUCUUAACAUCUGGAGAAAAACUGUCUAGAAAGAGAAACUUCACAGCAAAGUCUCCACUGAUGUACGAGUGGUACCAGGAAUAUUACGUGGGGGCUGCGCAUGGCCUGGCGGGGAUUUAUUACUACCUGAUGCAGCCCAGCCUUCAGGUGAGCCAAGGAAAGUUACACAGUUUGGUGAAGCCCAGUGUAGACUUUGUCUGCCAGCUGAAGUUCCCUUCUGGCAAUUAUCCUCCAUGUUUGGAUGACACCAGAGACCUGCUUGUCCACUGGUGCCACGGUGCCCCUGGGGUCAUCUACAUGCUCAUCCAAGCCUACAAGGUGUUCAAAGAGGAGCAGUACCUGCAUGACGCCUACCGGUGUGCUGACGUGGUGUGGCAGUACGGGCUGCUGAAGAAGGGCUACGGGCUAUGCCACGGUGCUGCAGGGAAUGCCUACGCGUUCCUGGCACUCUACAACCUCACGCAAGAUGUGAAGUACCUGUACAGGGCCUGCAAGUUUGCUGAGUGGUGUUUAGACUAUGGAGAACACGGAUGCAGGACACCAGACACCCCCUUCUCGCUCUUCGAAGGGAUGGCUGGAACAAUAUAUUUCCUGGCUGACCUGUUAGUCCCCACGAAGGCCAAGUUCCCUGCAUUUGAACUCUGAAAGGAAAGCAUGUCUCCUGUGCUUACAGAGUGCCUCUCUGUGUGUUCCUCUGGGCUAAGUGUCUCCGUUGCUUUUGAAGGAAGCAAAAUGAAACUGUGUACUUGUUGUGGCCGGGCUUUUAUUUAGCAGUCAGCGCCUUCCUUUUAUUACUUGCUUUAUUUAAAGGUGUAUAUGAAAGCCAUCUUAACUAUCUUCCAAAGAGAAGGAUGCAUGACAAGUACAUUAUUUUUUGUGGCCAUUUACAUGUAUUUCCAGACUUGGGAGGACAUCUCACUCUUAUUUAAGUUCUUUCUAGAAACUCACUGGUAAGCCAUCCCUGGUAACAUGUUAUCCCAGCUACUGAAGAGACUAAGGCAGGACGAUCACAAGUUCAAGACCAACCUGGGCAACUCAGUGAGACUGUUUCUAAGUAAAGAGAAGAGAGAGAUGUGGGAUUAGCGGAGUGGCAGAACACUUUUCUAGCAUGCAAAAAGCCCUGGGUUCUGUCCCCAGCUCACACAUACACAUAACACUACAUAUAGUGCAGAUACAUGAUUAUGUGUAGAUUGCCAUCACCUUCCAUCGCUUCUGUUGAAUCUUUUUCCUCCAACAGAGAGUAGUUUUAUGACUUGGUUUUCUCAAGUGGUUGAUUAUUAAAGGGGACAAGAAUGCAGUAAGCCAUGCUUCUGGAAGAAAAACCGCAAGAAUUACCAAUUAGACUUGGGGCCUAAAUGUUGUGUUUUAAAUUCCUAGUUUUUUUAUAAACCAGAAAUACCAGUUUGAAUGAGCCAAACAGGCACUGUAUUCCAGCAAUAUUAUCAAAACUUAAAUUGAUUGUGAUGCACAUUCUGAUCUUGAAGCUAAUUCACCAACAAUAGCUCCUUGUUUUCUGUUAUAUGCCAGAAAUGUUUAUUUUAAAAGUGUUUGUCCUUCAGUGUUCAUAUGAGAUCCAGAAGUAGAUGUUCUGUGUGAAUUUGCUGAGACAGGACUGCAGCCUGACCUUUGGCUGACCUUCAGAUGUUUGGCCUAGAUUUUCCUUGCUUUUCGCUGACUGCUUGAGUGCCACGUGUCAUCCCUUCCUGUCAAUUGAUUUGAACAUUGAUCUUUUCGCUAAGUAGUACAGAAUCUAAUUCUGCUUACACAGCAGGUGGAAAGGGAGAUGCUGUGAGUAAUAGCUUCUGAGAGAACACAGAAUUCUUACUCCUGGAAGCACCGGAUGUUACAGCCUUCAUGCUUGUAACACAUGAGUCUUUGCACAUCCCAGGAGCAACAGUCGUCAGAUUCUGAGACCACGGAGCCAGGUUUGUUAGUACAUGAAGGCUCCCUGGUGCUUCAAAUUCCAAACAAAUGCUUUUUGACGCCUCAGCUCCUCCCUCCCUCCACCAUUAUCACAUACCUAUCCAAAUUCUAGGCAGUUGACUUGGGAACAUUUUCCACCUUUAAAAUAACAGGGUCUGAGAAUAUUUAAUGUGCUAUUUUAUGGCUCUCUUGAUCGUACUAUUUUUGUUGGAAAUUGAAUCCCCUUGGAGUGUGUGCUGGUUGCUAUGAGGAAUAAUCCCAUUAUUUUCUGUUUGGUACCAAGAUAGCUAAUAUGGGAAAUUCCCUAGCCCUUUAAAGGCUACCUACAGUAGGAUUCAACUUGCAGCCCAGUGCUUAAUUCUCAGGAUUGGGUUGCUCCUUCUGUGACCCCUGUACAUAGGGACUUGUGCAUCUUCGCCCUCUGAAGUGCUGCUGGAAGCUGUGUGUAAAGUGCCUGGUGAAGGCUGUGCACUGACGGGGCCAGAAUGUCUACUGUAGGUACUUAUUAAAAGAAAAAGAACAAGUAUUUUGAUCAGUCAAGAGACUUGAUCACAGUGCUUCCCCGGCAUCCUGAUCAGUGGAGCCCCAGAAGGAACUCAAAGAAGGAAGAAUGUUUUGAGGACCAUCCUUGUUGGUAUCCGAGCAGCCUUCAACAUACUGACAUCCAUUAACAGACCCAUCGGCACCAACAGUUCGGCUUUCUGUCUUCACUGUAGCUUUUUAAAACUCCUUACACUGACAACAUAUUUAUGCCACUGUUGACUGACGCGUAAAAGCUAGGAGAGUUUUCUGAGGGUUUUAAACUCGGGUAGAAACAAAGCUCACACCGAUGCCUCCCCUCCGAGGUAGAGGCCGCAAGAAACACUUUGACUGCAGAUUGUGUGGGAGCACCAUUGUUGCUUUCAUUCUUUGACGUUUUUCGCUUGGAUGUUUUUCUUCUCGGUUUAAAAACCUUCCAGAGGUUGCUUCAGGAAGAUUUGGUGGCAUUGCUAAUCUCUCUACAGAGACUGUGUAGUGAAAUGUUGAGAGGCUGUCAGGCCCUUCUGUAAGAUAUCAACAUUGCCAUGACCGUUUCUGUAGAUCCCACCAGGUGUUCAUUUCAUUCCAGCUGUCAGUCUUCCAUCCUUAGAGUCAUCUGGUUUCCUUUUCAUCAUUCCUGUCACAUCCGUUUGACGGCAGAAGCCCCCCUGUAGGUAGAGUUAGAUCAAAGGGGAUCUAAGGGUAUUUUUUCUCCUUUUUCCCAUUUCCCUGAGUAACUAUAUUGUAGCACUCCACUCCUCUAUCCUCAGGUCAGUUUGUAUCUGUUUGGGCGGUGCCCUUACCUUCUGUCACCUAACUUUGAAAUAAACUGUAAGCGGGAACGUUUAUUUAUAGACUCUUAGGCUCCUAGAACUCAGGUGUAGUCCUUGCUUACUCAUUUUUAAUUCCAAUUCCUUUUCUGCUCCCUGAAAACAGUCAGAGCAGGUUUCUGAGUGUUCUGUACCACUGGGCUGUAGGGGAACUGUUUACAGCUGGUGAGCAGGAGUCAGUGUGGAGGACAUCGAAGAAUCAUCCCAGGUUCAUUGUCCCUUGCUGGGAACAGAUGUGUAUGUUAUGAAAAGGAUUUGUCUGGAUGGUUUUCAAUAAAAUGCUAUUAGGCCUGA
This is an RNA transcript of Psammomys obesus (fat sand rat), 4411 nucleotides long. It is a transcript of the gene named LanC like glutathione S-transferase 1, with no coding region annotated. The record is from RefSeq and is a predicted model, not a curated record. Lineage: Eukaryota; Metazoa; Chordata; Mammalia; Rodentia; Muridae. The transcript is spliced from 10 exons.